Molecule: non-coding RNA, 364 nt
Organism: Herminiimonas arsenicoxydans
Lineage: Bacteria; Pseudomonadati; Pseudomonadota; Betaproteobacteria; Burkholderiales; Oxalobacteraceae
Source: Rfam
GGGGGCGACCUGGUUUCGACAGGGGUUGCAAAGCAGCGCAGGGCAUACCGAGGACUGGUUACCUCGUAAAUACAUCCAGAAAAGUAAUAACUGCAAACGAUAACUCGUACGCACUAGCCGCUUAAUAACCGGUUAGCUUCACACCGUUUCUUCCUUGGGGCGGGCUGGUCAAACAGCAGUGAAGUCAUAUACAAGGAAUCGCGUCAUGCCGGGUCACUUGGCAAGGCGUUAAAUAAUAGGUGACUCGCCUGUCCGCAGCGUGCGCGUCCGCGUCGUACAGGUUAAAUCAAAUGGCAGCGCUAAGUAUGUAGAACUGUCUGUAGAGUGCUUCUGGACGCGGGUUCGAUUCCCGCCGCCUCCACCA